Molecule: ribosomal RNA, 428 nt
Filed under: uncultured bacterium
Lineage: Bacteria
Description: bacterial SSU rRNA
Rfam family: Bacterial small subunit ribosomal RNA
Source: RNAcentral
UUUCGAAUCAUUCACAAUGGGCGAAAGCCUGAUGGUGCGACGCCGCGUGGGGGAUGAAGGUCUUCGGAUUGUAAACCCCUGUCACCGGGGAAGAACCGCUUUGAAUUAACAGUUCAAAGCCUGACUUAACCCGGAGAGGAAGCAGUGGCUAACUCUGUGCCAGCAGCCGCGGUAAUACAGAGACUGCAAGCGUUAUUCGGAUUCACUGGGCGUAAAGGGUGCGCAGGCGGCCAAGUGUGUUAGAUGUGAAAUCCCGGGGCUCAACCCCGGAACUGCGUCUAAAACUACUUGGCUAGAGCAUUGGAGAGGGUAGUGGAAUUCACGGUGUAGCAGUGAAAUGCGUAGAUAUCGUGAGGAACACCAGAGGCGAAGGCGACUACCUGGACAAUUGCUGACGCUCAGGCACGAAAGCGUGGGGAGCAAAAGGG